Molecule: RNA transcript, 525 nt
Organism: Octodon degus (degu)
Lineage: Eukaryota; Metazoa; Chordata; Mammalia; Rodentia; Octodontidae
Gene name: cold-inducible RNA-binding protein pseudogene
Exons: 1
Source: RefSeq, a predicted model, not a curated record
GCUGCCAUGGCAUCAGAUGAAGGCAAGCUUUUUUUUGGAGGGCUGAGUUUUGACACCAAUGAGCAGUCGCUGGAGCAGGUCUUCUCCAAAUAUGGCCAGAUUGCUGAAGUGGUGGUGGUGAAAGACAGGGAGACCCAGCGAUCGAGGGGCUUUGGGUUUGUCACCUUUGAAAACGUUGACGAUGCCAAGGAUGCCAUGAUGGCUAUGAAUGGAAAGUCAGUGGACGGGUGACAGAUCCGUGUUGACCAGGCUGGCAAGUCUUCCAACAACCGAUCCUGAGGGUACCAAGGUGGCUCUGCUGGCGGUCGGGGUUUCUUCCGAGGGGGCUGAGGCCGGGGCCGUGGGUUCUCCAGAGGGGGAGGGGACCAAGGCUAUGGUGGUGGCCGCUUUGAGUCCCGCAGUGGGGGCUAUGGUGGCUCCAGAGACUACUACAGCAGCCGGAGUCGGGGUGGCGGCUACGGUGACCGGAGCUCAGGGGGGUUCUACAGAGACAGCUACGACAGCUAUGCUACACAAAACGAGUAA